This 499-nucleotide ribosomal RNA is filed under the name uncultured bacterium. RNAcentral's name for it is "bacterial SSU rRNA". It matches the Rfam family "Bacterial small subunit ribosomal RNA", at positions 29 to 526 of the family's 1533-position model. The record is from RNAcentral.
AAUGAACGUUGGCGGCGUGGAUUAGGCAUGCAAGUCGAGCGAGAACCCCGCAAGGGGGGACAGCGGCAAACGGGGUAGUAACGGGUAGGCGACGUACCCUCGGGAUGGGGAUAGCCACGGGAAACUGUGGGUAAUACCCAAUAAUCACCUUGGUUAUCAGAAUUGAGGUGCAAAGGUGUGAUUCCACCUGAGGAGCGGCCUGCUUCGUAUUAGCUAGUUGGUGAGGUAACGGCUCACCAAGGCAACGAUGCGUAGGGGGUGUGAGAGCAUGACCCCCACCACUGGGACUGAGAUACUGCCCAGACACCUACGGGUGGCUGCAGUCGAGAAUCUUCGGCAAUGGGGGAAACCCUGACCGAGCGACGCCGCGUGUGGGAUGAAGGCCCUUGGGUUGUAAACCACUGUCAGAGGGGAUGAAGUGCGGGAGAGUUAUCUCUUUCGUUUGACAUAGCCUCAGAGGAAGCACGGGCUAAGUUCGUGCCAGCAGCCGCCGUAACAC